AGGUGCAUUCAUGCCAACACUAAUACACUGGAACCUGUCAAAAUUACGUAGUUAAGCGUGCUUGAACAACAGUAGUAUUAGGAUACGUGAUCUCCUGGAAAUUUCUAGUGUUGCAGCUC
Molecule: ribosomal RNA, 119 nt
Filed under: Cicer arietinum (chickpea)
Lineage: Eukaryota; Viridiplantae; Streptophyta; Magnoliopsida; Fabales; Fabaceae
Source: RNAcentral